Molecule: non-coding RNA, 679 nt
Organism: Pelobates cultripes (western spadefoot toad)
Lineage: Eukaryota; Metazoa; Chordata; Amphibia; Anura; Pelobatidae
Source: the annotation of a GenBank genome assembly
UUUUUUUAUUUUUUUUAUUUCUUGCAAGCUGCCAUCACAAUUACAGGGUUACAAGUCAACCUGUGACCCACAACCAAAUAUUUCAAAUAAUGGUUUUCCGCCUAUCACUCAGAGCUUAAACUUUCAUGCCCUUACUUUACCCUAAAAGUUACUAGCCACUGCAAGCCCAUGGCACACUCAAAGGGGUGAAUGUAUACUAGCCAGGACUUAAUUUUUACUUACCUAUAGACUAGUGGCAAUUGGAAAUUUUUUGUCCUGUAUCACUUUUAGUAAGCCAUAACCCACAUAAUAAACACCGCACUGUUCUUACUACUGUUACAGUGUACGUGAAUGAAACAGCAAGAGGAUAUUCAGCACUUGUCCAGUACUGGUACAGUCCAUAGGGCAGCUGGGUCACCAAAUCCGGGGGUGGGAGUGCAGCACAAUUUAGACGCUUUGGCUUAAUAAUCCCCGCCUUAGGAUAUGGUGGAGUACAGACUUUUUAGGAGGUUCUUGUGGAUGCAGAUUUGAUAGAGUAAGUAUGGAUUUUUCUGUCCGACAGGCUUAGAUGGUAUUAUCCCCACCAAGGAUAUGGAGUACAGGAAUCCAGCAGCAGACAGGUCCAAUAAAAAUACUUUUAUUGAUUUAAAAAAAAACAAAGGGUGAAAACUAUAUAAAACAAUAUUAACCCCUUAAGGAC